Molecule: long non-coding RNA, 264 nt
Organism: Salvelinus sp. IW2-2015
Lineage: Eukaryota; Metazoa; Chordata; Actinopteri; Salmoniformes; Salmonidae
Exons: 3
Source: RefSeq, a predicted model, not a curated record
CACUUACCCACCUGUCUGUCUUGUUUCUGCAGGGCAGGUAUUGAUGAGGUGGAGACAGAUGUGGUGGAGAUCGAAGCUAAACUAGAUAAGCUAGUGAAGUUAUGUAGUGGGAUGAUCGAGGCUGGCAGGGCGUAUGUCAGUGCCAACAAGCUGUUUGUGAACGGCAUCAAAGACCUGUCUCAGCAGUGCAAGAAGGAGGAGAUGAUCUCUGAGUGUCUGGAGAAGUGUGGUGGGAGUCUGCAGGAGAUCGUCAACUACCACAUG